AGCCGUUCUUAACGGCGAGGUGGUAGCUGAGCAGUUGCAUGGGGAUGAUGUUGAGCAACCCUUGCAGGCAGUCGACCGUGCGCGGCACGCGGAUCGUCUUGCACCCCUUCGGGAUGCCGUCGUCGUCCUCGUUGCACACGAUGAUUGGCUGCGCCUUGCGGGCAGUGAUCUGCGCGUACGCGCUCUGCACCUUCGGGUACAGCGAGUCCUGCGUCAUGACGAUGAUGACGGGCAUGUUCUCGUCGAUCAGGGCGAGGGGACCAUGCUUGAGCUCGCCGG
Molecule: unclassified non-coding RNA, 279 nt
Filed under: Hevea brasiliensis (rubber tree)
Lineage: Eukaryota; Viridiplantae; Streptophyta; Magnoliopsida; Malpighiales; Euphorbiaceae
Source: RNAcentral